RNAcentral lists this transfer RNA (77 nucleotides) under Pseudomonas sp. RNAcentral's name for it is "tRNA-Met". It matches the Rfam family "tRNA". From Rfam's summary of the family: Transfer RNA (tRNA) molecules are approximately 80 nucleotides in length. Their secondary structure includes four short double-helical elements and three loops (D, anti-codon, and T loops). The record is from RNAcentral. Lineage: Bacteria; Pseudomonadati; Pseudomonadota; Gammaproteobacteria; Pseudomonadales; Pseudomonadaceae. RNAcentral also lists the same sequence under 18 other names.
CGCGGGAUGGAGCAGCCUGGUAGCUCGUCGGGCUCAUAACCCGAAGGUCGUCGGUUCAAAUCCGGCCCCCGCAACCA